RNAcentral lists this ribosomal RNA (494 nucleotides) under Streptomyces sp. 310B12. Its description in RNAcentral is "bacterial SSU rRNA". It matches the Rfam family "Bacterial small subunit ribosomal RNA", at positions 93 to 601 of the family's 1533-position model. Lineage: Bacteria; Bacillati; Actinomycetota; Actinomycetes; Kitasatosporales; Streptomycetaceae. The record is from RNAcentral.
CAGUGGCGAACGGGUGAGUAACACGUGGGCAAUCUGCCCUGCACUCUGGGACAAGCCCUGGAAACGGGGUCUAAUACCGGAUAUGACCAUUGACCGCAUGGUUGGUGGUGUAAAGCUCCGGCGGUGCAGGAUGAGCCCGCGGCCUAUCAGCUUGUUGGUGGGGUGAUGGCCUACCAAGGCGACGACGGGUAGCCGGCCUGAGAGGGCGACCGGCCACACUGGGACUGAGACACGGCCCAGACUCCUACGGGAGGCAGCAGUGGGGAAUAUUGCACAAUGGGCGAAAGCCUGAUGCAGCGACGCCGCGUGAGGGAUGACGGCCUUCGGGUUGUAAACCUCUUUCAGCAGGGAAGAAGCGCAAGUGACGGUACCUGCAGAAGAAGCACCGGCUAACUACGUGCCAGCAGCCGCGGUAAUACGUAGGGUGCGAGCGUUGUCCGGAAUUAUUGGGCGUAAAGAGCUCGUAGGCGGCUUGUCGCGUCGGAUGUGAAAGC